Molecule: ribosomal RNA, 253 nt
Filed under: uncultured bacterium
Lineage: Bacteria
Description: partial 16S ribosomal RNA
Rfam family: Bacterial small subunit ribosomal RNA
Source: RNAcentral
UACGUAGGGUGCGAGCGUUAAUCGGAAUUACUGGGCGUAAAGCGUGCGCAGGCGGUUUUGUAAGCCAGAUGUGAAAUCCCCGGGCUUAACCUGGGAAUGGCAUUUGGGACUGCAAGGCUUGAGUGCGGCAGAGGAGACUGGAAUUCCUGGUGUAGCAGUGAAAUGCGUAGAUAUCGCUUGGAACGCCAACGGUGAAAACAGGUUGCUGGGGUUGUGCCGACGCUGAGACACGAAAGCCAGGGGAGCAAACGGG